Cavia porcellus (domestic guinea pig) is the source of this 481-nucleotide non-coding RNA. Lineage: Eukaryota; Metazoa; Chordata; Mammalia; Rodentia; Caviidae. The record is from the annotation of a RefSeq genome assembly.
CUGACCAGUAAUAAACUAGGAGAAUAAAAGGCUUCAAAUCUCUGUCUCAGCUUGGGGCCUGAAGGACUCAGCAUUGGGGCAUCUCCACCAUGGCCUGGGCUCAUCUCUUCUUAACCAUCACCACUUUCUUCACAGGGUCUCUCUCCCAGCCUGUGCUGACUCAGCUGCCCUCUGCAUCUGCCUCCCUGGGACAGACACACAAACUCACCUGUACCCUGAGCAGUGGCUACAGUAACUACAAUGUGGACUGGUACCAGCAGAGCCAGGGAAAGAGCCCUCGGUUUGUGAUGCGAGUGGGUACUAGUGGUAUUGUGGGAUCCAAGGGGAGUGGAAUCCCUGAUCGAUUCUCAGGAUCAGGUUCUGGCUCUGAACGGUACCUGACCAUCCAGAACAUCCAAGAAGAAGAUGAGAAUGUCUACUACUGUGGGGCAGACCACGGCAGUGGGAGUAGCUUGGUAUAACCCACAGUGACACAGUCAGG